Molecule: ribosomal RNA, 472 nt
Filed under: uncultured bacterium
Lineage: Bacteria
Description: bacterial SSU rRNA
Rfam family: Bacterial small subunit ribosomal RNA
Source: RNAcentral
UGGGGAAUAUUGGACAAUGGGCGCAAGCCUGAUCCAGCCAUGCCGCGUGAGUGAUGAAGGCCCUCGGGUCGUAAAGCUCUGUGGGUAGGGAAGAACCUCUGAGGGAACAAUACCCCUCAGAAUGACGGUACCUGCUUAGCAAGCACCGGCUAACUCCGUGCCAGCAGCCGCGGUAAUACGGAGGGUGCAAGCGUUGUUCGGAAUCACUGGGCGUAAAGCGCACGUAGGCGGAUAGUUAAGUCAGGGGUGAAAUCCUGGGGCUCAACCCCAGAACUGCCUUUGAUACUGGCUGUCUCGAGGUCGAGAGAGGUUGGUGGAAUUCCUAGUGUAGAGGUGAAAUUCGUAGAUAUUAGGAAGAACACCAGUGGCGAAGGCGGCCAACUGGCUCGAUACUGACGCUGAGGUGCGAAAGCGUGGGGAGCAAACAGGAUUAGAUACCCGAGUAGUCCCUGAGCGGGCUGGCAAGGCGCAU